CCAAUAAAUUCAGACAAUUUAAAAAACAUAACAUAAAUGUUUUUCUCCUCUUGCUCCGGCAUAUUUUUGGGACCCUAUGAGCUUCCGUAGCCCUCGCCCACCUUCUUACUUCUUUAGUGGAGAUCCACAAGCAUAGCAGAACAAGGCUAAUGCUAAUGCUUUCGAGAGCGAGACAUUUCUUCCAAAGAAAAGUGUCGUCAGUGCUUUAGAAUUGCAGUUACAGACGCGGAACAAGUGAAUGCAAGCUGCAAAGUUUCUGUAGAAAAGGUAGCAGCACAACAAAAUUUUUUCCAGCAUCUGAAACAGCAUCGAGCCGAGCGGGGGAAAUGCAACUCUUUAAGAGGCAAACAAGACCGCAACAACCACAAACUCCACCUAAAAAAUAUCUUACUAUGUUGGAAUGAUUUACACAAGAAAACACUUGACUCUCCAAAUACCACCAUAAUGACAGAUGGUCAUUCUGUCAGAGCUACAGCAUUGCUCCGUGGAAAGAGAGGAAGUUUCCAGAAAAGACAACCAUCUAUGCAGCAACCCACCAACAAGGCCUGUAUGGUAUAGUGGCCAGUCGGAAGCCAUUUGUCUGGUCUGAUGAGACAAAAAUUUAACUCUUCGGCGUGAAUGCCGGUCAUCAUAUUUAAAGGAAAUCAGGCACCACUCAACACCAGGCCAAUACUAUCCCUACAGUGAAGAAUGGCGGUGGCAGCAUUGUGCUGUGGGAGUGUUUUUCAGUGGCAGUAACUGGGAGACUAGUCAGGUUAGAAGCAAAGAUGAAUGCAGAAAUGUACAGAAACAUCCUGGAUGAAAACCAACGCUUCCCAUCCAAUCUGAUGGAGCUUGAGAGGUGCUGCAAAGAGAAAUGGGUGAAACUGCCCAAAGAUAGGUGUGCCAAACCUGUGGCAUCAAAUUCAAAAAUACUUGAAGCUGUAGCAUCAACACAGUAUUGAGCAAAGGCUGUGAAUACUUAUGUAAAUAUGAUUAUUUUUGUUUUUAUUUUGAAUAAAUGAAUAAAAAAAAAUAAUAAAAAAAUCACAUUGUCAUUACGGGGUAUUGUCUUUAAAAUUAUGAGGACAAAAUGUAUUUAUUCCAUUUUGGAAUUAGGCAGUAUCAUAAAAUGUGGAAAAAUUGAAGUGCUGUAACCUUCCUUAUAAAUGUAUUGCCUGUUUUUCUGCCAUUGCUACGGUGCUUGGUUGUUAUGUAGCUUAUUCAAUUUAAUUAGAUCACUCGCAGUGGGUAAAUAAUGUGAAUUUUGAUAUCCAUCAGAUAACAAGUAGAUACUAGUAUCGCCGAAACUGGUUAAUACUGGUUAACUGAGUUAAUGAGAAUAUUCAAAGGAAUGAAUGACUGAAACAAAAAAUGAUAAUAAAAUCUUUACACAUGCUAGAAUGUAUGUAAUAGUGCAUCUUUUAUGAGUUUUAACUAAUUUAAAUGAACUUCAACCACAUUUAAAUUCAUGUUCCCAACUUUAAAUGUACUGUAGGCCUAUUUCCUUACUGUAGCUUUUUAUUGUUUAGGUGUAAAGUCAGUUAAGUUUAUUGUGGUCACAACUAGCGGUUUUAUUACUAAUGGUGCGUUUGUGAUGCAAACAUUUCAGACAAAACAUUAUCUGGAUGAGCACACCCGGCAUAUGUUUAUAAUCAAUUUCAAGUGCAUGAGCAAGAUUGUGAGAAAGCAAGAACUGGAAACUCCACGGUCACACUGACUCACCCUGACUUGACGAGGCAUUCAUGGACCUUCUGAAUGUCCCGAAGGGGAAUGGCUCGCAGAGGCUCCUUAUCCUGGCACACAAACACAGCAGACAUAAGCCGAUGAAGAAGAGGAGCACAGAUGAAGAUCAGCAGGCCGUCCUCACCAUCUCAGACUUGUAGUAACUGACCGCGUUGUUAUCAAGGGUAAAAAAGCGUCUCUUCCAGCUUUUCCUCUGGAAAACAUGUCAGUUUCCCAUGCUCAUCCUCCUUUGAAGUUAGACGGUAGAGGUGUACUCACAACAUUGCCUUGCUUCACACAGUAGCUGGACCUCAGCACACCAGGCUUGAUGCCCUUCUUCUCAGUGUCCUCUGAUUCAUUCUGAAACAUCACCAUCUUCCCAAUCACCAAGACAUGUCUGUGUCUACUCUAUGUGCUAAACAUUUUUUUUUUACAAACACAACUUUUAUUUUAGGGGCACUAUACCUGAAUAGGAGUGUGCACUACCACUCCCCCGAUGAUUUCUGUCUUGUAUGCGUGCUGCUUCUUUCCACCAUGAGCGUCACUGACAAUUGCAGACACAUGGGACCUUGAAGGUGCCGGACCAGACUUAGGAACCUACCCGCAAGCAACAUCAACGGUCACCUAUUUUGCAAAACUAACAUUAUAACAGUAAUACAGCGGAACUUUGAUUUACCAACCGCUUCAUUUGGGAACUUUCCGUUUUUUUUAACGUGCCAAAUAUACCUCAAGUGUCUGUGUAUGAACACAUCAUUCAUUUUGUAUCCCGCUGGGAACCAUUUUGUGCUUGCUCGUAUUUAAGAGAUUGAGGAUGCCGCAAGUUUUUAAUUGUGAUUAGAACUGACUUUUGUGGAAAAAUAUAUUCUAAAGUGGAUUUAUUUUACAGCAGAGGAAUUACAACACGUCUUGUUUAGCAGCAUGUUUUCAAAGAGCGUACACACACACACACACUCAAAUCCCCGCCCAACUCUCUGCCCUGUGUCUGCCUCUUAAUCUUCUCUUGUGAUCUGCUUCUUUGCCGAUGUGUACUGUAAGUGGAUUUAAAAAAUGUUUAUGUUCAUUAUUGUGGUAAAGCGGUUGUCAAAUAAAGUUUAAACAUUUUUGUGA
Nerophis ophidion (straightnose pipefish) is the source of this 2811-nucleotide long non-coding RNA. RefSeq lists it as uncharacterized. The transcript is spliced from 2 exons. Lineage: Eukaryota; Metazoa; Chordata; Actinopteri; Syngnathiformes; Syngnathidae. The record is from RefSeq and is a predicted model, not a curated record.